This 993-nucleotide ribosomal RNA is filed under the name Lentilactobacillus buchneri. Its description in RNAcentral is "bacterial SSU rRNA". It matches the Rfam family "Bacterial small subunit ribosomal RNA", at positions 68 to 1026 of the family's 1533-position model. Lineage: Bacteria; Bacillati; Bacillota; Bacilli; Lactobacillales; Lactobacillaceae. The record is from RNAcentral.
GGUGCUUGCACUUGAAAGAUUUAACAUUGAGACGAGUGGCGAACUGGUGAGUAACACGUGGGUAACCUGCCCUUGAAGUAGGGGAUAACACUUGGAAACAGGUGCUAAUACCGUAUAACAACCAAAACCACCUGGUUUUGGUUUAAAAGACGGCUUCGGCUGUCACUUUAGGAUGGACCCGCGGCGUAUUAGCUUGUUGGUAAGGUAACGGCUUACCAAGGCGAUGAUACGUAGCCGACCUGAGAGGGUAAUCGGCCACAUUGGGACUGAGACACGCCCCAAACUCAAACGGGAGGCAGCAGUAGGGAAUCUUCCACAAUGGACGAAAGUCUGAUGGAGCAACGCCGCGUGAGUGAUGAAGGGUUUCGGCUCGUAAAACUCUGUUGUUGGAGAAGAACAGGUGUCAGAGUAACUGUUGACAUCUUGACGGUAUCCAACCAGAAAGCCACGGCUAACUACGUGCCAGCAGCCGCGGUAAUACGUAGGUGGCAAGCGUUGUCCGGAUUUAUUGGGCGUAAAGCGAGCGCAGGCGGUUUUUUAGGUCUGAUGUGAAAGCCUUCGGCUUAACCGGAGAAGUGCAUCGGAAACCGGGAGACUUGAGUGCAGAAGAGGACAGUGGAACUCCAUGUGUAGCGGUGAAAUGCGUAGAUAUAUGGAAGAACACCAGUGGCGAAGGCGGCUGUCUGGUCUGUAACUGACGCUGAGGCUCGAAAGCAUGGGUAGCGAACAGGAUUAGAUACCCUGGUAGUCCAUGCCGUAAACGAUGAGUGCUAAGUGUUGGAGGGUUUCCGCCCUUCAGUGCUGCAGCUAACGCAUUAAGCACUCCGCCUGGGGAGUACGACCGCAAGGUUGAAACUCAAAAGGAAUUGACGGGGGCCCCGCACAAGCGGGGGGAGCAUGGGGGUUAAAUCCGAUGCUACCCGGAAGAACCUUUACCAGGUCUUUGACAUCUUUCUGCCAACCUAAAAAAAUUAAGGCGUUUCCCUUCCGGGG